This 107-nucleotide small nuclear RNA is filed under the name Cervus elaphus hippelaphus. Lineage: Eukaryota; Metazoa; Chordata; Mammalia; Artiodactyla; Cervidae. The record is from RNAcentral.
GUGCUUGCUUCGGCAGCACAUAUACUAAAAGUGGAACGAUACAGAGAAGAUUAGCAUGGCCCCUGCACAAGGAUGAAAUGCAAAUUUGUGAAGCGUUUCAUAUUUUU